RNAcentral lists this ribosomal RNA (231 nucleotides) under uncultured bacterium. RNAcentral's name for it is "partial 16S ribosomal RNA". It matches the Rfam family "Bacterial small subunit ribosomal RNA", at positions 99 to 334 of the family's 1533-position model. The record is from RNAcentral.
CGGACGGGUGAGUAAUGUCUGGGAAACUGCCCGAUGGAGGGGGAUAACUACUGGAAACGGUAGCUAAUACCGCAUAACGUCGCAAGACCAAAGAGGGGACCUUCGGGCCUCUUGCCAUCGGAUGUGCCCAGAUGGGAUUAGCUAGUAGGUGGGGUAACGGCUCACCUAGGCGACGAUCCCUAGCUGGCCUGAGAGGAUGACCAGCCACACUGGAACUGAGACACGGUCCAG